RNAcentral lists this long non-coding RNA (424 nucleotides) under Nicotiana benthamiana. RNAcentral describes it as "long non-coding RNA (NBEN_LNC009178)". Lineage: Eukaryota; Viridiplantae; Streptophyta; Magnoliopsida; Solanales; Solanaceae. The record is from RNAcentral.
GGGAAAAGUUAGAAAAUAUGUUUGCAUAAUAAUCACAGAAUAAAAUACCCUUUUUAAAACGGUAAUAAUAAUCAGUCUCAUCAUGUUUCUUGUAACAAAAUCAAUUUGACAAUUCAGCAAAAACUCGGUAAAUACUGUGUCAUAGAAAAUCUUUAUAUUUGGGAGAUUUCAGAAAAGGAUUAUGUAAAUUGUAUCACUGUGUGGACCCCUUCAUAAAAAGAGUCAAGUAUAACUUUAGGUCCUUACCCGAGGGAAAACUGUAGCUGUAUGCUAGUUCUACCUUCCCACUAGCGAGGGUUAUAACUGUAGUGCGUAAAUGGUAAUCUGUAAAUACAAGGUGCACCAGGUCUAACAAACCCGGCGUUAGCUACGGGAUCCUUCAAAGUCUCCUCCCAUUUAUACUCUUUCUUGUAAAUAGUAAAUA